Molecule: ribosomal RNA, 924 nt
Filed under: uncultured bacterium
Lineage: Bacteria
Description: bacterial SSU rRNA
Rfam family: Bacterial small subunit ribosomal RNA
Source: RNAcentral
ACGCUGGCGGCGUGCCUAAUACAUGCAAGUAGAACGCUGAAGGAGGAGCUUGCUUCUCCGGAUGAGUUGCGAACGGGUGAGUAACGCGUAGGUAACCUGCCUGGUAGCGGGGGAUAACUAUUGGAAACGAUAGCUAAUACCGCAUAAGAGUAGAUGUUGCAUGACAUUUGCUUAAAAGGUGCAAUUGCAUCACUACCAGAUGGACCUGCGUUGUAUUAGCUAGUUGGUGGGGUAACGGCUCACCAAGGCGACGAUACAUAGCCGACCUGAGAGGGUGAUCGGCCACACUGGGACUGAGACACGGCCCAGACUCCUACGGGAGGCAGCAGUAGGGAAUCUUCGGCAAUGGACGGAAGUCUGACCGAGCAACGCCGCGUGAGUGAAGAAGGUUUUCGGAUCGUAAAGCUCUGUUGUAAGAGAAGAACGAGUGUGAGAGUGGAAAGUUCACACUGUGACGGUAUCUUACCAGAGAGGGACGGCUAACUACGUGCCAGCAGCCGCGGUAAUACGUAGGUCCCGAGCGUUGUCCGGAUUUAUUGGGCGUAAAGCGAGCGCAGGCGGUUAGAUAAGCCUGAAGUUAAAGGCUAUGGCUUAACCAUAGUACGCUUUGGAAACUGUUUAACUUGAGUGCAAGAGGGGAGAGUGGAAUUCCAUGUGUAGCGGUGAAAUGCGUAGAUAUAUGGAGGAACACCGGUGGCGAAAGCGGCUCUCUGGCUUGUAACUGACGCUGAGGCUCGAAAGCGUGGGGAGCAAACAGGAUUAGGUACCCUGGUAGUCCACGCCGUAAACGAUGAGUGCUAGGUGUUAGACCCUUUCCGGGGUUUAGUGCCGCAGCUAACGCAUUAAGCACUCCGCCUGGGGAGUACGACCGCAAGGUUGAAACUCAAAGGAAUUGACGGGGGCCCGCACAAGCGGUGGAGCAUG